This 465-nucleotide ribosomal RNA is filed under the name uncultured bacterium. RNAcentral describes it as "partial 16S ribosomal RNA". It matches the Rfam family "Bacterial small subunit ribosomal RNA", at positions 28 to 507 of the family's 1533-position model. The record is from RNAcentral.
GACGAACGCUGGCGGCGUGCUUAACACAUGCAAGUCGAACGGAAAGGCGCCCUUGUGGGGUACUCGAGUGGCGAACGGGUGAGUAACACGUGAGUACCCUACCAUUGUCCUUGGGAUUACUUCAGGACACCGGGGCAAAUUCCCGAAUGGAGCUCCUGCUGAAUGGUGGGGGUUGGAAGGUUUCGGGCGUUGUGGAUGGACUCGCGGCUUAUCUGCUUGUUGGUGGGGUUGUGGCUCACCAGGGCGUUUACGGGUGGCCGGCCUGAGAGGGUGACCGGCCACAUUGGGACUGAGAUACGGCCCAGACUCGUACGGGAGGGAGCAGUGGGGGAUAUUGCACAAUGGGGGGACGGCUGAUGGAGCGACGCCGCGUGCGGGAUGACGGCCUUCGGGUUGUAAACCGCUUUCGCCUGUGACGAAGCGUGAGUGACGGUAAUUGGUAAAGAAGCACCGGCUAACUACGUG